CUAAUUUGUCCAUUUCAACUGUUUCCCGCUCAUUCAUAGCGUAAUUUCACACGAUUUCGUUCUGCAAUGGCGAGUUUUCUCCGGUGUACGUUCACAGUCUACCCGAUCUUCACAGGUUUCUUCGACGAGUUUUUCUUCUUCGUCGAAAUCAAACCCGAUCAAAUAGGCAGAGUCUAGAAUUCGCCAGGAACUUCGUCGUCGCAGAAAGCAGACACGAGGAAUAUAGCAUACCAUUCUCAUCCUCACCCACUCACCCCCCUCAAGUUGGACGGGCUAGGAGAGAUCCCCAACUUUCCUAGAACGUUGUGGUGAGAUGGCCCAGAUAGGGCUUUGGGGAAGGGAUCAGAGACCUGAGAAGAAGCCGGAACAUAAGACAGAGAAAUCAGGUGUGCGAGGAAUUGUUUUGUGUACAAAGUGGCUAUCGGAGUAAACCAGACUAGGGAGCUCUGGCGGAGAUCCCCAUAUCAGCAAGAAGACAAUUGAGCCAUGUCAUAUCAGCCACGACUCUUCUCAUGGAGUGAUACUCAGCUCCCGCAGAGGAUAAGGAAAUGGAGACCUGUUCUUUUUGGUUCCUAGAAACAGGUGAGCCUCCAAGUGUGAUAAAAAAUCAACUGUCUGAUCGACGCCCCAAUUUGACAGAAAGAUCACUUGUCAGAAACAGAUCUUGACUGGGAUUGUUACUGAGGUAUUAAAGAACUCGCAGUGCAGCUGAAAAAUGAGAUGUCCAGGGAUCCUGUAUAUACUGAGAGAGAUGUUGCACUGCAUAACAAAUAUUUGGUUGACUAUGAGUGUGGAUCAAAAGGUGAAGAAACAAGUGGCAGAUGGGAGCAAUCAUAUUCAGAAAGAAGCUCCAAAGUGUACUUCUGUUGAGUAAUAAUGAGACCAUCAGGCUCCUUUAAAAUCUCAAGUCCCAAAAAAAUAAUGUGGGAAAAUCCAUUGAUUGGAUGGACAUCCACUGGAGACCCUUUAUCAUCCAUUGGUGAGGCAGGGUUAUCGUUUGAUAUUGUAGAUGCAACAAAGACGUAUGCUGAGAAACAUGGUUGGGAGUACGCUGUGUGACUACAUGUGGGAUUGGAAUAGGUUUUGAACUUGCAUUGCAUGCUUACAAGAUUGUGAUGUAGAAAGAGUCCCAGAAUAUGGAUAGUACCUCUCUUACGAGUUCCUUCAAGAGUUCUUGAGGUAUUUAUUAGUUAAAUUAGUGAAAGAGAAAACCGUGAUGAAAGAUAACAAGUUGAUCAGAUUUCUAGAGAAGAAAUUGAAAGAGAGCAGGCACGGACUUAUCUUCUGGGAAUGACUAAUAACUUCAAUGCUGAAGUACUAAUUUCAUAGAGUUUGAUUCAUUAGAACUUGAGUGUCAAAUUGAUUUCGUUGUAAUUGUUACUACAUGAUACACUAGCUUGACUAUGUUCCUAGGUCAAUUUUGUUGGUCUUGUUUGGAGUCUGAUAUACAGAGCUUCUUUUAACAUUUCAUUUUAAGCAGGCACUGUCACUACAUAAUACACUAGCUCGACUAUGUACCAAGGCCAAUUUUGUUGGUCGUGUUUUCAGUCUAAUGUACAGAGCUUUGUUUAACAUUCACCUUAU
This is a non-coding RNA of Solanum lycopersicum (tomato), 1584 nucleotides long. Lineage: Eukaryota; Viridiplantae; Streptophyta; Magnoliopsida; Solanales; Solanaceae. The record is from RefSeq and is a predicted model, not a curated record.